CCGCCCCUCACGGGCGCCCCGGCAGCGCCGCGCGCCUCCCGGGGCUCCCCACGGGCUCCCCACGGGGCCCCGCAGAGCCCACACCGCCCACACCGCCGCCUGCGCGAGCGGGACCCGAGCUGUGAGCUCCCCACGAGUGACCCCCCGGUGCCCGCCUUUGUGCCGUGCCCAGAGAAGCGGCUGCUUCCCCCGCCCGGGCAGGCCGCCCGCAGCGUGUCCCAUGGCAGUGCAAGGAUCAGCGAUUUUAUCCCAUGGGUUUAACACAUGCGGCACAAGACAGAUGGGAUACCCAGGCUGGUGGAUUUGUACCAGGGAAAGUCCAGCUCAGGAGCAGCGGCGCUACACAAGAGACCAAAGUGCCCAGACCUCGGCAGCAUUCAUUUCUCCUUGUUGCUACUGAAUAGGAAGAAAUACCCUAUGAAGGGCUUGAAUUCCUCGAGGGUGCAUAAUGGUAUCAGUUACUGAAAGUUAUUAAUGAAAGUUACUAAUGAAAGCUUAUCAGAGCCCUACCCGCAAUGCCAAGAGGGGCUGCUCCACUCUUGGGCAGCUGGGAAGAUGUCCUGCCUUCUCCAUUGCCCCACCUGGGCUGCACUCACUUCUGCUUUCUGCAUUUCAGACACUGGGGUCACUUCCAUUCCAUUCCAAUAUCCAGUUUUUUCAAGCCAAGAUAAAUCAGUUAAGCUAUACAUCAAGCAUAACACCAUGGCAAGCAAAUAAGCACAUUCCAAUUUGGAAAUUAAGUGUCUUUAUUCAACAAGCACGUGAUAGUGCCCUUAAAUUAUUCAAUCAAUGAAACAUGUAAAACUAUCUGCUUACACCUCCAAGUGCACAGAUAGUGAAAAGAGAAAAGCUAAAAAAAAAUGUUAUUCAAGUCACUUUUAUUCCUCAGUCAAAGAAAAAACAAUACUUUUGGUCAAAUGUAUUCUUGCUCACACCCCAUAAGGCCCAGGCAGUUCAUCCACUUCCACCAGUCUCUUCCAGGGGUAAACUUGCAUGAUUCACCUAAAAAUUAGCAGUAAAUAAUUCCAGUGGAUUUGCAGCACUAAGGGAGUUUUGUGCCAGUCUCUGCUCUUGGACCACCUCUUCACUGGAGAAUGCUUAGCAGCAAAGGCUAAAUGCUGCAAGAAAAUGAAGAUUCCUACUGGUCAUAAGCACAGAAAUUCUGGAGGCUGGAGGAGAGUGGGACAGCUCAGUGCCCUCUCUGCAGAGCAGCAUUCCCUGCUCCAGGCCACCUCCCAGAUGUGGCACCAUGCUUGUGGAGAUAUCCCA
Long non-coding RNA from Onychostruthus taczanowskii (white-rumped snowfinch), 1269 nucleotides. RefSeq lists it as uncharacterized. The transcript is spliced from 3 exons. The record is from RefSeq and is a predicted model, not a curated record. Lineage: Eukaryota; Metazoa; Chordata; Aves; Passeriformes; Passeridae.